Humulus lupulus (European hop) is the source of this 1208-nucleotide long non-coding RNA. RefSeq lists it as uncharacterized. The record is from RefSeq and is a predicted model, not a curated record. NCBI's taxonomy places the organism in Eukaryota, Viridiplantae, Streptophyta, Magnoliopsida, Rosales, Cannabaceae. The transcript has 2 exons.
ACAAAGUAAUGUCCUUGCUAGACAGGUAAAUAUCAUAAACCUUUUUUUUUAUUCGCAUAAAGAUGUUGAUACUCUUUUUUGUUGAUAUGAGUAGUUUUUUUAUAGUGAUGAUAGUAUACUUUAUAAACUUGUUCUUUUUUGUUGAAUUAGCUAUUGUGAUUUGUGUCAAGUUGCAGAUUUGUUUUCUUAAGUAUCAAGUUCUUUAUAUUGUGAUUGUGUCAAGUAACUUAAAGGAAUUCCUGUUUGCUUAACUAAACAUUCCCCUCCACCCUUUUCCUUUUUUUCAUACUUCACAUUGAACCUAACUGCAAUGACAUCCUCAAUACAUAGGAGUUAAAAACGUGAUUUGAUCCAUGUUUUGACUUUUGUGUAGUCAAUAUUCAUGGUGAUGUAUGUAUCUUUGAUCUGUACCAAAUGUGCUAUUCAUUUUAUCUUAUUUUCUUUCUGUUCCGAUGUAUCCAUCUUUAAUAUGUAACUAUCUAGUGCAUAUAUUUCAUUUUGAAGUUUCUUAACUUGAAGCGUGUAGUACAAAGUAGAAACAGAACACAGUUACAAGAACUAGAAACAAAUCUCAAUAGUUUAGCAAGAAGAAAAACAGAACACAAAGGAAGAUGCACCAAACCAGAAAACUAGUUUUUGAAUAGUCACUUUUUUGAUAUUGUAUUCACUACAACAUUUUUUAGCACCAAAUCAAUUCAAGUCUUGCAUAAUGCCUUGAAUGAACUUCGAUUAUGUUAUGUCACAUAUAGAUCUUAUUGUGUACAAUCCAAGCAAGGAAAUACUAAGGUUUAUUAUAUUAUAUUAUUUUAUACAGUUUCUUAUUUAUUUGUUGAAAUUUUUGUUGUUUUGAGGUUGUUGAGUAUUCUACUCACAAUGCAUACAUCUUCUGGAAAGGCUACAAUGUCAUUGUCGACUUCUUUAUGGAAGAAGUAUGAGGCUGCUUGGCAUGCUGGAAACUGGAAUUUUUCCUUGCUUUACAUGGGAGAUAAUUCACAGAGUGAGCAAAACUAAAAGUGGCCAUUUCAAUGAAAAUCUGCACAGGUACAAUGAUGAGUUAAGAUUUCUUUUUUACUUCAGUAUAAUUCUACCAUCUAUAUAGUAGAACUUCUGGGGCAUAGUUUAUCUCUACUACAAGUACUUGCUCCACUAUAUAACUGAGAUGGUCAUACUAGACUUGAGGCUUUUUAUUGUUAAAGAAAUAUUUCUUU